UACCCGCAUCGUAACAUAUUCACCAUUAAUAUUUUUGGAGCUUGAAUGUGUGGGUCGAAUUAAAUGAACGUAGGAUUGGAGAUCCUUAGGGGGAAUGGGAUGGGUUAAAAUUAAAAUUUUGUGCCUUAUAUCCUUUGUUUUAAAAAAACCAUGAACCAGGCCAUGUUACAACAUGAAAAAGACCUAAUUGAAGCAAAGUUUAUUUUGAAAUCGUACUACAACAAGGUUGCGUUAACCUGACUCCUAGAUAUUUGUUAAUAAUUUGUGUUGGUAUCAAGUUCCCGCAUCAUCUUUCACUCUUUGAAUAAACCAAUGAUCCAUUCACUGUACAUCACAUCAUUUCAAUAAUGACGUUGAUUUCAAAACUUGCAUAAGAGUUGCAUUAAAA
This 388-nucleotide long non-coding RNA is filed under the name Lathyrus oleraceus (garden pea). Its description in RNAcentral is "Pisum sativum (pea) long non-coding RNA (PSAT_LNC026825)". The record is from RNAcentral. Lineage: Eukaryota; Viridiplantae; Streptophyta; Magnoliopsida; Fabales; Fabaceae.